Molecule: RNA transcript, 1735 nt
Organism: Lynx canadensis (Canada lynx)
Lineage: Eukaryota; Metazoa; Chordata; Mammalia; Carnivora; Felidae
Gene name: CMRF35-like molecule 7
Exons: 5
Source: RefSeq, a predicted model, not a curated record
GCAAGCUGGGGCUCCGGCAGAGCUCUGGGAGUCCAGCUGGGAUCCGAGUGCGAGCUCCGGUUGUGGGUCCAGAGGGACAGGGAGCCCGAGAGGCAGGACCAUGCAGCUGCCGCUAGUUCUUCUCCUUCUCAGCCUCCCAGGUUGCCUCUCCAUCCAAGGCCCAGAGUCCGUGAGGGGCUUAGAGGGCGGAUCUGUGACUGUGCGGUGUGACUAUAAACCAAGAUGGGAGACCUAUGGGAAGUGGUGGUGUCGUGGAGCAUACUGGGAGUUGUGCAGGACCCUCGUUCGAACCACAGGAUCACAGCUAGAAGUGAAGGGAGACCGUGUGUCCAUUGGGGACAACCAGAGUCACCACUUCCUCACAGUGACCAUGGAGAAAGUCAGGCAAGAUGACACAGACACUUACUGGUGCGGGAUCAGCAAGAGUGGACCUGACCUCGGGGCACCUAUCAGAGUGACCAUUGAGCCAGAGGGAACACUUCUGACCACCUUGGCGAGCAUGCUAUCCAGGAGAACCACCAAUGGCCGUGCAGGGGUGUCGUCUGUCUCCUACAGCAGGAACCGCUACAUCCUUCUGGUGUUCGUGAAGGUGCCCAUCUUGCUCAUAUUGGUUGGUGUUGUCCUUUGGUUGAAGGGCCUCAGUAACGACAGUCUGUCUACAUGAACUUGUCCUUGAUCUUCUCACCAAAGACACAGCCGCUCAGAAAGACGGAUGAACAGAACCUUCUGACCCCUGGACCCCAUUUCCAGAGGAGACGUGGGCUGUGGAAGAAAUGCCUCUGAGUCCUUAGGACGCGGUGACUGAGGCUGGGGGUGCUAAGCUUACCGGUCUGGCUUGUUCCACCUGCCUUGGGCUUCCAGAUCCUCAUGGCUGGUCUCCUUAUGUGCCCCCUGCACCCCAGCCUGGCUGUCUGGAAGUCAAGUCUCCACCGAGAAUGGGGUCCAGAUUCAGCCCCAACAGCUCUCCUGGGCUCCUCCUAAACCCAUGCCGUGGAGGCUAACAGCGAAGAGGCCUGGGGGCUGGGCUUCCUCUGGGCACCACUGUCUCAUCUCAUCUUGCUGGAAGGGGACCCUGAAUUCCUCCACCCCAGGUCCUAAUUUGCUGGUCAUCUUUCUUCAAAUCUUUUCUUAGCUUAGGAACAUCAGACCUACAGCUCCCUGCCCACGUCCUGCUCUGCCAGCUCCAACAGAGGUCAUGAAUCACCCUUGAAUCUGUGCAGCCCCAAGACUGGGGCCAACUCAUCAUGGCCAGGACAGAAGGUGUCCUGAGGGUAGAGGUCAGCCUCAGUCCCCGAGAGAUGGGACCACCGUGCAGUGGGGAGCUGCAGAGAUGACUUUGGGGGAAUGAGGGCCAAGGCUACUGUUCCUGCUGAAAACAUGGGUCUGGGGCCAGGUCUGAUCCUCAUGCCCUCAUUUAUUCAUCCACUCAUUCACUCAUUCAUUCAUUCAUUCAUACAUUCAACAAAUGCAACUAAAUUACCUACUGACUCCAGGCACCGUUUUCAGGGCACAUUGACUAUUGUAUGAAUGAGGGGAGCCCCCCGGAUGUCUCCUCCUGUACAUUUGGCUUGAAAUGCAAGAACCUGACCUCAUAUCAAUUGCCCCCCUUUUAUCACUGAAUAGAAAGGUUUCAGGUGACAAGGUAAAUCAUGGGUUCUCCUCUGGCAGCCACCAUUGGAGAUGAUUUAGAAAGCACAGCUUGGGAUUCAAACAGUAAUGAGAUACUACUACCCAC